RNAcentral lists this ribosomal RNA (450 nucleotides) under uncultured bacterium. RNAcentral describes it as "partial 16S ribosomal RNA". It matches the Rfam family "Bacterial small subunit ribosomal RNA", at positions 354 to 796 of the family's 1533-position model. The record is from RNAcentral.
GUGGGGAAUUUUGGACAAUGGGCGCAAGCCUGAUCCAGCAAUGCCGCGUGCAGGAAGAAGGCCUUCGGGUUGUAAACUGCUUUUGUACGGAACGAAACGGUCCUGGCUAAUAUCCGGGGCUAAUGACGGUACCGUAAGAAUAAGCACCGGCUAACUACGUGCCAGCAGCCGCGGUAAUACGUAGGGUGCGAGCGUUAAUCGGAAUUACUGGGCGUAAAGCGUGCGCAGGCGGUGCUGUAAGACAGGCGUGAAAUCCCCGGGCUCAACCUGGGAAUUGCGCUUGUGACUGCAGUGCUGGAGUGCGGCAGAGGGGGAUGGAAUUCCGCGUGUAGCAGUGAAAUGCGUAGAUAUGCGGAGGAACACCGAUGGCGAAGGCAAUCCCCUGGGCCUGCACUGACGCUCAUGUACGAAAGCGUGGGGAGCAAACAGGAUUAGAUACCCCUGUAGUCC